This 494-nucleotide ribosomal RNA is filed under the name uncultured bacterium. RNAcentral's name for it is "partial 16S ribosomal RNA". It matches the Rfam family "Bacterial small subunit ribosomal RNA", at positions 28 to 507 of the family's 1533-position model. The record is from RNAcentral.
GACGAACGCUGGCGGCGUGCUUAACACAUGCAAGUCGAACGGUGAAGCGCCUUCCUUUUUGGUGGGUGUGGAUGAGUGGCGAACGGGUGAGUAACACGUGAGUAACCUGCCCCCUUCUUCUGGAUAACCGCAUGAAAGUGUGGCUAAUACGGAAUAUUCUGGGUCUGUCGCAUGAUGGGUCUGGGAAAGAUAUUGUUUCGGUGGGGGAUGGGCUCGCGGCCUAUCAGCUUGUUGGUGGGGUGAUGGCCUACCAAGGCGGUGACGGGUAGCCGGCCUGAGAGGGUGGACGGUCACACUGGGACUGGGACACGGCCCAGACUCCUACGGGAGGCAGCAGUGGGGAAUAUUGCACAAUGGGCGCAAGCCUGAUGCAGCGACGCCGCGUGAGGGAUGGAGGCCUUCGGGUUGUGAACCUCUUUCGCCAGUGAAGCAGGCCUGCCUCGUUUGUGGGUGGGUUGACGGUAGCUGGAUAAGAAGCGCCGGCUAACUACGUG